Pecten maximus is the source of this 1612-nucleotide long non-coding RNA. RefSeq lists it as uncharacterized. Lineage: Eukaryota; Metazoa; Mollusca; Bivalvia; Pectinida; Pectinidae. The record is from RefSeq and is a predicted model, not a curated record. The transcript is spliced from 3 exons.
CACUUGAAAUGUACAAGCUCCUGGUCCAGAGAUUAUGUGACACUCAAGUUUGAGCUCCUGGCUUGAUGAUUCCACAAAACUUUGGAUUCCAGUUGAAGUUAUUCCACAAAAUUUACAAUUUGAAUUGUCCCUGAUUUAGUCAUUUGAAAAUAUCACAAUAUCUCCACACAAAAUUAGAAUAUGAUUUGUGAAGGAUGGAAAAAAUUCCACACGAGAUCACAAAAAUUAAAAGCUUGGUUAAAUACACCAAGACUUGUAAAUAUCCAUCACAGAAUCUCUUCAAGGUUAACACAACAAGAGAUCUUACAGAACUUCAACAUCUUCAUCAGGAAACACUUGAGGGGGAAAAAAAAAGUUUUAAAACUGAAGAUCAGAGAAACUAUGAAUGCUGGGAAAGCAUGUACACAUCGCAAACCAAUCAGCUGACUAGUAGAGUGUGGAUUAUUAGUCAAUUAUCUCAGCCCAGUCAAUCGAGACUUUGACCCGUUCCCAAACACCACAGUGACUCAGAAAAGCCAGAAAAAAACUUCAGCUUCUUCCUCGAGUACCAGCUGCCGAAACCCAAACUUAUAAAACACACCUCUCCUUGAGGUUGUAUAGAUAUCAAAAAUUAAAAACACAGGUUUUCUUCCAUGAAAGAAUCCUAAACACCAGCAUCCAAUUGUAAAAGGCUAAAUCGAAAACCUGAGCCGGCUAAGUAAAACGCUUGUUUGGUGGUAUUUAGCAAGCCAUUAGGAGGAGGUGCCAAUAGACUUGAGUGCCAGAUGGUCUGGAGUAUGGUAUCCUCAUCACAGUGAUCAUCACCCUUGUAGGGGUAGCCAGGCCCGAGAGAGGGAGGCAGCCUCCGUACCCACAGCUCCAAGUCAAUAUCAUCAUUUAAAGAAAAGAUUGGUGACCAGAAAUUAACUACGAAGAGGACAAGAUGUCAAGCUACAAAGAUGUCAUCUACUUUAUCAGAUUUCUCUCUGAAACAGCCUGCAUGCUACUGCGUCCAGUCUACAUAUGUUUGCAUCUUCUAGAGGAGCCUGAACGACAAUAUGGCAUAAAGCUAGCAAGUCCAACAGUCAAAGACAAAAUGAAGUGAACUGAAAAGAUACAAACGAUUAUUUAUAAAAACUGAUGUAAAGUAGUAUAGCUGACUUGUUGUCAAAUUAAUGUUGAUGAUAUAGAAACAUAAUAUGUCUUGAAGACUUGAAGUGUGCGUGGAUAUAUCAAUGAAAAACAUUUAAUUCCGCGACAAUCAAAAGUUUUGACCAUUUGUUUAUCAAAGAAUUUUAUUUUUGUAUAGAGUUCAGAAAACUUCUACUACAAUUUGAACAUCUUUGAAACUGAGGUUUCAUAAUUAAUAACUUUGAGUACAUAUCAUAUGAAGCUGUGUUUCCUUGAAAAGAAUCACGAUUCAGCUAUUUUUGUAGUUUUGUUUCAGUAUUUGAUUCUUGUCGAUCUAGUCUGGAGACCUUUCUCUUUUUCGAUCUUAUUAAUUAAUUUUCUUUCAAACUUAACACUACAUUAUGACAUGUAGUUGCAAUUUCUUAUUGGCAUUUUAAUCGAGAUGUGAAUGGAAGUGUUACCAUUUUCAUGGUUUUUGCUUGUGUGUGUUUGAUUCAAAAUA